CACAGGAGAAAGUUUGGGGACCCCUGAUCUACCUCACAGGUUUGGUGGAACAGACUGUGGUUUCCCAGUCUCCCAGGAGCAAUUGGGACAGUUUGUGACAGAGACUAACAACAUUCAAUGUGGAGAUGAACACCUUCAGGCACAUUUUGAGAACCUCCAGAGACAGUGUGGCCUAGCACAUCCACAGAGCUGGGAAUCAUGUGUCGAAAACUAUAUCAAACUGAAAAACAUGGCGGACUUAUAAACAAACAAGAAUCCAAAUUUGAAGGUCGCACACAAACACUAAACAGUGUCAUAACUGAACAGGUUUGACAAGUUAAAUAGUUAGCAUUUUGUUUUGUUGUUAUGCAUUUGACCUUAAUAAAGCCCAAACCCAGGGGA
Molecule: long non-coding RNA, 381 nt
Organism: Xiphophorus maculatus (southern platyfish)
Lineage: Eukaryota; Metazoa; Chordata; Actinopteri; Cyprinodontiformes; Poeciliidae
Exons: 2
Source: RefSeq, a predicted model, not a curated record